Aethalodelphis obliquidens (Pacific white-sided dolphin) is the source of this 5479-nucleotide long non-coding RNA. RefSeq lists it as uncharacterized. Lineage: Eukaryota; Metazoa; Chordata; Mammalia; Artiodactyla; Delphinidae. The transcript has 3 exons. The record is from RefSeq and is a predicted model, not a curated record.
GCAGGUUUGGUUUCUUCUAAGGCUUCUCUCCUUGGUUCGUAGAUGGCUUUCUUCUCCUCCCUGUGUCCUCCCAUGGUCUUCCUUCUGUGUGCGUGUGUCUGAUUCCUAAUCUCUUUUCCAUAUAAGAAUACCAGUCAUACAGGAUUAGGGUCCACACUAAUGACCUCAUCUUAACUUAAUUACCUCUUAAGGACCCUGUUUCCAAAUACAGUCACAUUCUGAGGUACUGGGAGUUAGGACAUCAACAUACGAAUUUGGGGACACGUAAUUCAGCCCCUAACAACUAUUAUAGACAAUGCUUCAAAGCAAAGUUCUCCUUGUACACGUAAGUGCAAGUUUCCCUGGGGAAUCCACUUAAGUAUGGAAGGGUGAGGUCAUAUAAUGGAGUACAAUUUAAGUGGAUGGCGAUGAUGAGGUUUGCAGGGUAAAAGUCUGAAAAAAUAGUGAUAAUCGUAGCUAGUAUUUUUCAAGUGACAAUAACUCUAUAUUAUACAAAAUUUUAUUUAAUUUUUACAACAUCUAUUUGAGUUAGGUGUUAUCAUUAUUCCCAUUUUACCAAUAAGGAAACCGAGGCUUAAGGAAAUGAAGUAAUCUAAGUGUCCAGAGGAACCAGCGGUAAAGCUGGGAUUCUAACCCAGGUCUGUUUGAUUCCAAAGCCUGUGCUUUUAUACACUGUAGCUUCAUUUGAGAACACACACUCACACACACACACACACGCACACAUGCCACACACACUGCCUCAAUGAAGUGUUGCCCUGCAGCACAGUUAACCACUAGUUCAGAAAUCCCUUCGUCGAGCUGCACUACGUGCGGCUGGGAAAUGAAUGACAAGCGCGUGAGAACAGCCCAGGAAAAGAAAGGAGGUACAAAUUCCCUGAAAAACAACUCCCAGAAAGGCACAUCUGUGUUGAUGUAUAAAAAUAGAAAAGGGUAGAAUCCUCGUGGCUGUGGAGCCCUAGCCUAGCAGCAGCAGCACGACAUCCUGUGACGUCAAGAAGUGGUGGCGGAAGUCGCUGCGAACAAUGGCCACAGAGCACUGCUGGGGGAAGACGUGUGUGUCACCCGGCAGCUGCGGGGCGUGCACAGGAAGGAAGUGCAGGACCCGCGGCAUCACUGGCCUCCCUCCGAGCGCUGUUGUGAGCACCAAGCGACCUCAGAAGCGCAGGGCGCUCAGCACAGGUGGUUUACCGUCGUUGUUGUUAUGCCCUUCAUGUGGCCCAUUUCCCGCAGACACGCAAGACAGAAACAGUAGCCUCUUUCAAAGAGGAGGUAAGAAUUAGAUUAAUCAGCCCUCCAUUAACAUCCCACGGUGGAGGUGUCUGCUCCAUUCACCUAAUGACCCGAACCUUUGCAUAACUUGUGCAAAUAGCUCCUGGACAGCCCUUGGGAGGGAAAUGCGCUCUUCUUUUUGACUUCUAUGACAUGACAAAUCCGAAUAUGCUGGUCUUGGCACCCUGAAACAAGCCGGCAAGGGAAAUUCAGAUUUCACGUGACGCACAAGCAAAAGUGAUUUUCGGUAAAUGAAGAUUCAAUUCUUAGGGUGGGGAUACUAAUAACACAGGUCAAGUGAUUUGAAAAGACUUUUACUCUCUUUUUUUGUUUGUUUUCUCUCACCCCUUCCAUCUCUUCAGCCCACCUGGAAUUUCUUCCCUUGAAAAGUUCUAAAGGAUCCUAGAAUGAGAGUCUUUAGGUUCCUUCCUGAACACUGUAUCAAGACAUUUCUGGCAUCUCAACCUCAUUUCAUGUACACCACCUCUGAGUCCAGGUUUCAGAAAAGCAAGUGAACAAACAAGGCCGUCACCUCAUUAAGCCAAAAUCACUGCACUUAUGGAGCAUCGGUGAGAACUCCCUCCUUCAAAGUCAAAAAAUAUCUAGCACCCGAAAAAAAUUAAGUCUGGUUCUUUCUAGAUAAAAGAGAACAGGAUUUAAGUGAGUACAUACUUAAGGUUAAGUGAGUAAAUCCUUGCGGGGUGAGGAGGUAACCACCCUUGUGGAACUUUGGAACUUUUGUUUUUUACUUGAAACGCAGCAGCGGCGUUAAGUUUUCUGUUCCUUGCUCGGUAAUCGGCCGAACCUGCGUGCAAGGCUGCGGACACCUUGUUGGGUCCGGGACGGAGGGCGAUGAUGCUGUGGAGGAUGUGAUGACGAUGUGCAGAAAUGAAAGCGAUGACAAAAGCUCGCGAGGCCUGAGCGCUUCGGUGGCCGGGCCGAUCCUGCGGCCGCAGAGGCCCCGGGGCCGCCGGGCCAGCGCGCGGCGGGGACGGCGGGCGCGUCAAUGGGCCCAUUCAGGCGGGCGCGGCGCGGCGCGGGGGUUGAGAAGUUAAGGGGCGGGAGGUGGCGCGCCGAGGCCGCGGCCGCGCCAUUUGCAUUUCAAUGAAACCCGCCUGUUGACUCAGUGCCCGGCGCUUCCGCAGCUCCCACCAGAAUCUGCCUUUGUUGGUUUUAGCUCCGGUCAAGUCCACUUCUUGCAGCGGGGGAGCCGCGCUCAUUGAGUUUGUGUAGUCAGGCAGAACACUCGACAGGAAGGAAGGAGGAAGGGGUGCUCCGCGCGGCCAUUGUCUGGGCAACCGGGCUUAAGCAGCCGAGUGACUAUUUAAUCUAGAAGGUGCACUUGAAUCCCUUGCAAAUCCUCUCAGUGUGGAGCAGGGGGCACCCAGACAGGGACAGAUGGUGCAGGACCCCUUUGUUUAAAAAUAUGGAAAUAGGCUUUUUCAUUUACUUAAGGUAGCCCCGCUCUUUUAACUGUUGCCAUUCCCCCGUGUUGCAUUGUCCAGGAGAGACCCGAACCGGCUAAUGGGUCUGGUCAGCCCUGCCCGAGCGGCCCCACCUUUUUUUUUUUUUUUUUUUUUUAAUGUAGUAGCUGGAAGUGAGUUUGCUAUGUUUGGCAUAGUUACAGUAAGAACCCCUCUUACCUUUCUGGUGUCUUCUGAGUUGGGCACAGAGCAGCCCAGGGAAGUUUGUUUAAAAGUCUUGCAAGAUCUCUUUUCAGAGGCCCCCUCCCUUUCUUUUUUCCCCGUUAAGCAUCAAAUUCAGAGGUCUCAGGGUGCUUCACGUGCAGCGAGGGGCGGAGGGAGAAUGUCUUGUUCUCAGUGUCUUCUUGCUGCUCUGCCGUGACCUCUUGGGCCAUGAAGCACAGUGAAGGGUGACCCACUUGGGUUUCCAGAGCCGGAAGGAUGCUGUGGCUCGGGCCGCACAUGUGGUUCCGCUUCCACAGCUAUAAUUUAGAGUGUGUUCAACAUCAGGCUUUGGAAAUGUGCACACAUGAGUGCAGUAUAUUAGAAACGUGGAAGAUUCUGCCUACAGAGCCCUUGAGCUUGCUGACAUGUCACAAGAUGGCUUUUCUGAUUAUCCUGACGACAUAGAGGACUGCAUUUUAUCGGGUGUCGGGGCACAUUUGGGAACAUUAGAGCACACCCCAAGUUAGUCGGAAAUGAGGUCAACCAACUGUCCACGCAUGUGACCUAUUUUUCCUGUCCUGGCUUUUGUUCAAAACAUGGCAGUCAUGGUCCUGCCGGACUCUUCUAGCCACGGUAAUACAAAUCAAUUAAAGGAAGAAAUUUGAAUAGAUAACUGGUAAAAAAAAAAAAAAAAAAUCAGAUAGUUUUCCAUUUCAGCACAGAUUAUACAGGAAGCAGAUUAUUGUCUUGUGGUUUUGAAGGUAGGAUGAAGUUGACACAUUAGAAAAUAGAUUGUUGAAGUAUUUUAAUCUUGAGGUGUUUAAAUGUUGGGCAUCUUAAUACAUUUAUAUAAAGAAGCAGAUGUCUUUUUGGUGUGUAAUUCAAAUCAAACGUUUGACUCUGAAAUGCUCAUAAUCCAACUGUCUCUUACCUGCCGCGACUGCAGACUCUUUGCCCUCAAGUUGUUCUGACAUGCUGUCUCUAAGAACAUAGACAGUGUACAUACAACACCUGGAUCUGUGAAUUAAUUACUACCUAGGCCACCACCAAGAGCCUUUCUAAGUGGCCAAGUGCAAGGAUCUUCUGUUUCUUAUCCAAGUAUCAAAGCCCCAAGUCCAUGAAUUGACACUUUACUAUGAAUUCCUGCUUCAUUUCGAUUUCACUCAGCCAUUUUAGAGGAGAAAAGAGCCAGAAUCAGGUGUCCCCCAGCAGGUGUAGCUUAUAAUUUAUAUUUUUUGAAGAAGAAUCUGCCUAAGCUGGUUUCAAGUUAUCAAAAGACAUAGAAAUUAAGAAGUUCUAAAAAGAUGUAGGAAUUAAAACUGGGGGGGGGAGGGUCAGUGAUUUUACAGGCUUAAGCAUUGCUCAGUAAACAAAUUUGUUUAGAAGUUCAAAAGUCAAAAGAGAGCUUUGCUUGGAGUUUGAAAAUUUUGUAGGUUUUCCUUCCAAAUGGUGAAAAAUGCAAUAUGAUAUUAUUAUUAUUCCACAGGCAGGUGUGAGCUUGAGCAUAUUAAGUUUCUUGGCUUUCUUUUGAUUUUAUAUAAUGAGCCUUUCGUUGGACUUCAUUACAGUGAUGGUCUCCCUCUCCGAUCCUGAGUUAAACCAUGAAACCCCACAUACUCUCUGAUAUUUGUAAUUUCGUUUUGGUUGGUAAGUGAAUUUUGGCGAUAAAAGUGUGAAGCCACAAGUUCCCCAAAGCAUUGGACUGCAGUGAAAAGGAAAGUACCCCAUCUGGCAAAGAUUUUGGUUUAAGUUGAACCUGAGGCUUCAUGCUCACUCACAGUUCACAAAUGAUGCCCACUCACCUAGCCCAGGGGGAUGAGAUUGGGGGCACCCACAUUCAAUUGGGUGAAGGAUUCUUAGAAUGUUUCUAAGACCAAUGUGUUGUAUAGGACCAACCUGGGCCUCUGUUGACGAUCAGAGAAUGAGACUGUGUAUUCCCAUAGGGAACGGCAGCUUCAGCAACUGACCCUAUUUAUGGGAGAGGAUUUGGCCAGCAGGGGACAUGAAUUCAGAGACUUUCGUUAUGAAUCAGUUCCUAUGAGACUACCACAGCUGGGCUGAAGGUGUUCAAAUUGAAGUGUUACUUUUAGUUUCUGCAUCGCUUGGGUUUGUCCAAAAUGAAAGUACUUAUGGUGACUUUCCAUACCAGACAGAGGAUUGUUUAGAAGUGCACCAAAGUGCACCAAAAUUUCCAUUUGGGUGUGGACUUAGUUUAGGAAAGUUCUCCAAGUCAUAAGCUGUUUUCCCCCAAAGCAGGACACAUUCCCAGAUGCCAGCCAUAUACUGUGCUGUGUCUUACCUGAUCUCUGCAGUGGUUGACGGUAUUGACUGCUUCCUCUUUGAGAAGCACCUUCCUUGGCUUUGAUGACAGAACUCUCUCCUGGCAUUUCUCCUACCUCUCCGGCCUCUCCUUCUUAGGCUUCUUUGCAGGCUCUUUGCCCCUUUGCUCAUCCCUUAUUGUGCUCUUGUGAGGGUUCUGUCUUUGGUUCUCAUCUCUUCUGUACAUUCUCCUUUGUGAGAUUUCUAGGAGACCUUUCUUUUUUUUUUUUUUUACAUCUUUAUUGGAGUAUAAUUGCUUUACA